UAAUACGUAGGGGGCAAGCGUUGUCCGGAUUUAUUGGGCGUAAAGAGCGUGUAGGCGGCCGCACAGGUCCGUUGUGAAAACUGGAGGCUUAACCUCCAGACGUCGAUGGAAACCGUGCGGCUAGAGUCCGGAAGAGGAGAGUGGAAUUCCUGGUGUAGCGGUGAAAUGCGCAGAUAUCAGGAAGAACACCCGUGGCGAAGGCGGCUCUCUGGGACGGUACUGACGCUGAGACGCG
Molecule: ribosomal RNA, 235 nt
Filed under: uncultured bacterium
Lineage: Bacteria
Description: partial 16S ribosomal RNA
Rfam family: Bacterial small subunit ribosomal RNA
Source: RNAcentral